This 275-nucleotide ribosomal RNA is filed under the name Escherichia coli. RNAcentral's name for it is "partial 23S ribosomal RNA". It matches the Rfam family "Bacterial large subunit ribosomal RNA", at positions 139 to 452 of the family's 2925-position model. Lineage: Bacteria; Pseudomonadati; Pseudomonadota; Gammaproteobacteria; Enterobacterales; Enterobacteriaceae. The record is from RNAcentral.
UUCGACACACUAUCAUUAACUGAAUCCAUAGGUUAAUGAGGCGAACCGGGGGAACUGAAACAUCUAAGUACCCCGAGGAAAAGAAAUCAACCGAGAUUCCCCCAGUAGCGGCGAGCGAACGGGGAGGAGCCCAGAGCCUGAAUCAGUGUGUGUGUUAGUGGAAGCGUCUGGAAAGGCGCGCGAUACAGGGUGACAGCCCCGUACACAAAAAUGCACAUAUUGUGAGCUCGAUGAGUAGGGCGGGACACGUGGUAUCCUGUCUGAAUAUGGGGGGA